UAUAUUGAUUGGCAUCAAUUGAUAUUGAAAACUCCGGUGGAUAGAGAUGGGCACGCGCAAGAUUAGAUAGUUGGUAGGGUAACGGCCUACCAAGUCAUUGAUCUUUAGGGGGCCUGAGAGGGUGAUCCCCCACACUGGUACUGAGACACGGACCAGACUCCUACGGGAGGCAGCAGUGAGGAAUAUUGGACAAUGGGUUAGCGCCUGAUCCAGCCAUCCCGCGUGAAGGACGACGGCCCUAUGGGUUGUAAACUUCUUUUGUAUAGGGAUAAACCUACUCUCGUGAGAGUAGCUGAAGGUACUAUACGAAUAAGCACCGGCUAACUCCGUGCCAGCAGCCGCGGUAAUACGGAGGGUGCAAGCGUUAUCCGGAUUUAUUGGGUUUAAAGGGUCCGUAGGCGGAUCUGUAAGUCAGUGGUGAAAUCUCACAGGCUUAACUGUGAAACUGCCAUUGAUACUGCAGUUCUUGAGUAAGGUAGAAGUGGCUGGAAUAAGUAGUGUAGCGGUGAAAUGCAUAGAUAUUACUUAGAAMMMCAAUUGCGAAGGCAGGUCACUAUGUCUUUACUNNGACGCUGAUGGACGAAAGCGUGGGGVAVSRAMMRGGAUUAGAUANNCCCUGGUAGUCCACGCCGUAAACGAUGCUAACUCGUUUUUGGGGUCUUCGGAUUCAGAGACUAAGCGAAAGUGAUAAGUUAGCCACCUGGGGAGUACGAACGCAAGUUUGAAACUCAAAGGAAUUGACGGGGGCCCGCACAAGCGGUGGAUUAUGUGGUUUAAUUCGAUGAUACGCGAGGAACCUUACCAAGGCUUAAAUGGGAAUUGACAGACGCAGAAAUGUGUUUUUCUUCGGACAAUUUUCAAGGUGCUGCAUGGUUGUCGUCAGCUCGUGCCGUGAGGUGUUAGGUUAAGUCCUGCAACGAGCGCAACCCCUGUCACUAGUUGCCAUCAUUAAGUUGGGGACUCUAGUGAGACUGCCUACGCAAGUAGAGAGGAAGGUGGGGAUGACGUCAAAUCAUCACGGCCCUUACGCCUUGGGCCACACACGUAAUACAAUGGCCGGUACAGAGGGCAGCUACCUAGCGAUAGGAUGCAAAUCUCGAAAGCCGGUCUCAGUUCGGAUUGGAGUCUGCAA
This 1132-nucleotide ribosomal RNA is filed under the name Chryseobacterium sp. MYb266. RNAcentral's name for it is "bacterial SSU rRNA". The record is from RNAcentral. Lineage: Bacteria; Pseudomonadati; Bacteroidota; Flavobacteriia; Flavobacteriales; Weeksellaceae.